RNAcentral lists this long non-coding RNA (297 nucleotides) under Elaeis guineensis (African oil palm). RNAcentral describes it as "long non-coding RNA (EGUI_LNC018183)". The record is from RNAcentral. Lineage: Eukaryota; Viridiplantae; Streptophyta; Magnoliopsida; Arecales; Arecaceae.
CUUUUGUUUUUGGGUAAAGGUCCUUUUUUCCAUUGAAGUUAUGGUAUACUAUAAUUAUGACUGUCCAAAAUUGGGGUUGGAGAUGCCACUAGAGCCGAGGUAAAAACCUGCCUUUCUCUCUUUCUCUUUUCUUUUUUUCUUUAACCUUAAGCACCACUGUCGGCCGUGGAUUUUGUUGAAAAUCCACCAAGAAAUAAAAACUCUAUUUAUCCCCUAUUUUUUUGAGUUUUUAUUCACUUUUUCUGACCGCCAGCAUUACCAUCCUUUGAAGGCUGAGUACCUAGGCUCCCCACGAUC